GACGAACGCUGGCGGCGUGCUUAACACAUGCAAGUCGAGCGGAAAGGCCCUUCGGGGUACUCGAGCGGCGAACGGGUGAGUAACACGUGAGUAACCUGCCCUAGGCUUUGGGAUAACCCUCGGAAACGGGGGCUAAUACCGAAUAUUCAUGUUCUGCGGCAUCGUGGGGUGUGGUAAAGUUUUUCGGCCUGGGAUGGGCUCGCGGCCUAUCAGCUUGUUGGUGGGGUGAUGGCCUACCAAGGCGACGACGGGUAGCCGGCCUGAGAGGGCGACCGGCCACACUGGGACUGAGACACGGCCCAGACUCCUACGGGAGGCAGCAGUGGGGAAUAUUGCACAAUGGGCGGAAGCCUGA
RNAcentral lists this ribosomal RNA (355 nucleotides) under uncultured bacterium. RNAcentral describes it as "bacterial SSU rRNA". It matches the Rfam family "Bacterial small subunit ribosomal RNA", at positions 28 to 386 of the family's 1533-position model. The record is from RNAcentral.